RNAcentral lists this long non-coding RNA (599 nucleotides) under Mus musculus (house mouse). Its description in RNAcentral is "predicted gene 20544". Lineage: Eukaryota; Metazoa; Chordata; Mammalia; Rodentia; Muridae. The record is from RNAcentral.
AGUUACUGCCACCCUCUCCCAGGUCUAGAGAGGGGUACCCACGGUGGAGGGAGGUGGGAGGCCGAGACGGCCCCGGGGGUCGGCGGAGACCCAGCGGGAGCAGGGGGAAAUCGGAAGAGCUGGGGGCAUGGAGCGGGCGAGUUUGGAGCGGAAUGAGCCGGGAGCCCUACGUUGUGGAAGGAAGACAACAGUAUAGGACCAUCAGCAGGACCGGACAGAGAGGGGCACGUAAGCACCCUGGCUGUCCUGGAACUUGUAGACCAGGCUGGCCUUGAACUCAGAAAUCCGCCUGCCUCUGACUCCCGAGUGCUGAGAUUAAAGGUGUGCACCACCACACCCGACAAGGAAGCCUGUUUUAAGAAGUGAUUCCAUGGAGGAGUUCUGCGGCGGCUCAGGGCUUGACUAAACAGUGGACCUCAGACCCGAGGGUGAAGGAUGAGGAGGAUGGAAGAAAAUGGGAGUGGCGCUUGCUGCAAAGGGUCUCGAAGGGUCUCAGCACCUGCGAACUGGCUCCAAUCCAAACUCCACUAUUCAUGGUCAAGUUCACAUAGGGCUUGGGGUUCUAACAAGAUGUGACUAAACUUACGUUUUCUAUCUUA